Molecule: small RNA, 2820 nt
Filed under: Rattus norvegicus (Norway rat)
Lineage: Eukaryota; Metazoa; Chordata; Mammalia; Rodentia; Muridae
Description: uncharacterized LOC103692015
Source: RNAcentral
AUUAAGGGAUGCAGUGCAGAGGGACAUGGCAAGUAAGAGCCGAUGGAGGGGUCCCUUAGCCAAGCUGGUCAUUUUAGGGGAGAGCUGGGGAGAGAUGAUCUGAGCUAGUCCAUGGACUAGUAGCUAUUAGCCAGGUAAGCGGGGGAAAGGACAUUUCCCUCUGAAGGAAGAGGAUGUCUUUAGUGACAUAAGAGAAGGUACAGCAAAGAGCACUGGCUGAAACUGGAACUUGAUCAGAGAGGGGAUUUGAUCAGGGUGACAUGGGCAAGCAGGGGACAGACUGGAAUCCCCCUGUGGGCUGUGCUAAGGAACUUAGUUCUUAGGGCUGCUGUGUAAAUGAAGAAGUACUGAAGCCUUUUAAGCAAAUAUUAGCCCUGUUAGAACUUGAGAGAACAUUCAAAAUAGUAGUGAUAGUAACAGAAGUUGGUAUUCAUUGCAUACUUCUUAUAUACCAGGUAAUGUUUUAGACAUUUUUCCUAAUAUGAGAUGUGUUGGUGUCACAGAAGCCUUGCCCAAAACCAUAGUACUAAGGUAUGAGAGCAAGCAAGGUACAAACCACAUCAGACUUCCACUACCAACCUUGCUCUCUACCACUAAGCUAUAAAAAUCCCACAUAUCCAUCUGCACGUCUCCCACUGGGCUUUCUCAGAAACAAAGGCUAUUUCCCAGCGCUGACCUCUUUCCCAUUGUAGUCUUUCAGUUUUAAUCUACCUGGUUUAGAAGUGCUCUGGCCUAAACUACAGCUGUGUGACUUUGCAAUCCCCUCCUCCCCCAGGUUUCAACUCUCUGGAAGGCAUAGAAGAUUCCAUAUGAGCUGGACUCCUUUGUCCUUCAGUGACAGUCCUGUGGCCCCCCUCCCCCCAGGAAGCCAACUCUGCAAGGUACUUUCCUUUGUUUCAAUAUCGACCCUUGCUUGGAAUCAGCUAGUGUCCCUAGUUAGGCUCAGUCUCCAGAUCUCAGAAGAAGCUCAUCUUCCUUUAGAGGGCAAUGAAAUGGAAAAAUAAUAUUAUCUCACUUGGAGCUAGUUGUUUGGAAGUAAAUUUCCAGGUAAUACUCGGAAAAAUCAAAUCACAGUUAAAUGAGAGCCCAUAAAAAUGUAAAUAAGGAUUUUUAUUCCUGGAGGGCAAAUUCCACACCAUGAGGAAGCACAAAGAUAUCCUUGGCUCCUGAGAUAUUGUCACAAAUUUCAAGUAUUUUUAUUCAAUCACUCAGUGAUAAUUUGCCCAAACACCUGCUGGUUGCCAGGUGCCUUGCUAGUUAGAGACAGAGGCAUGAUUAAGCCUUAGUUAGGAGCUUGAUUUCAACCAAAUGGAGAAUCUCGAUGUCGUUGGGAUUCUUACAAUGCAGGUGUGUAAUGAUUUUAUCUCUCUGAACAUUUCCAGUUCCCCGUGGUUGUCAACUUACAGGUAAUUUUCUAUACUACAUUUGUGUGUGUGUGUGUGUGUGUGUGUGUGUGUGUGUGUGUGUGUGUGUGUUCAUGUCCAUGCACCUGUGCCCAUGAGUAAUGUGUGAGUUGAGGUGUGGGGUUAUUAGUGGGAACACAUGUGGAGGUUAUAGGAUAGCUUUCAGGAAUCGAUUCUCUCCUUUCACAUGUAGAUUCCAAAGAUUAAACUCAGGUCAUUAGGCUUGAAGGAAAGUGCCUUUAACAGUAAGUCAUGUUGCCAGUCCAACUUGUAGGUCAUCUAAAAACACUAUUUCCCUUGAAAUCCAGCUAGCCAGCUAGCCAGCUACUUUCAUUCUAGGAAAAGAGAUGUGGUUCUUAACUUGGGUCACCUGGCUGGGGCAAUUUGUCCCCAGUUUAUCACUUCCUCCUACUCCCUCUUUGACUAACAAAUGAUUAGGCUUUCUCUGGCCCACACUGUUACAGGUCUAUUUGGGAAUUAUUGAACUGUGGUAAUUUUCUUCAGUAAAAAGGAAGCAGUUUUGCUUCUCACGAUCUCAAAAGAAUCACAUUGCCUAAAGAACCAGAAGCAGAAAUAGUUGAAGAAAUGUCAGUGUUUUAGAGACUCUCUGCAAAGCCUGUUUAUUAUUUGUUCAUGACCCAGUGCCAUCUGUUCUGCAUACCGAAGAGUUUCUCUUAGGGUUUACACAUUCGGAGCUCAGACACAUGCCUGAGGAUAAGUCAUUGUGCAAAUAAAGUGAGGAUGUAAGUCCCUCAUUCAAUCUGAUACAGGCAUUUUUAUAAACAAAGCAAGACCACACUUCCGAAAUGAUGACUAUAAGAGAGAAAGAAGUGAGUGGACAUGGCCAGAGGAAAGGAAAGAAGCUGUGACCAGUGUCAUACACCAGGGGGUUCUAUUCUUUCUGAAUGUCAGAGCUUGUCUUUCUCAUUCCUAGGAGGAAGUACAAGGAGAGCUUCAAGGAAGUGAGAUUUUCAGGCAAAAGGACCAAAUGACCAUAGAAACUUCUGAAACCAGAAGCCAAAGUGAACUUUUCUUCCGCCAUGUUGGAGUCAAGUUAUUGGUCACAACAAUGGAAACUUAACUCAGAGAUCAUGACAUGAUCCCACUAAGAACCUCUGGGCUUCCUACUUUCCCCUUAGCAGACUCCUCUCCCCAGGCAGCAUCCAUCUUUUUGAAGCCUGUCUAGACACUGGGCUUUCUACAGGUAACUAGAGGUUAUAUAUUAUAAACUCCUGCUUUUCAUGCUUUCACGUGCAUGUACAUAGUUGUCACAUGUACCCUCCUUCAUAUUGUUUGGGUUCUGAAGCUUACCUGACUGACUGGUAAAUGCUUAGCUUACAUUGGCCAUCUUAGCCCAUUUCCCCUCUCAAGCCUUGUCUGGCCUUGUUGUUGUAAAAUUAUAAAAAAUAAAAUGCUG